RNAcentral lists this ribosomal RNA (1518 nucleotides) under Lacticaseibacillus paracasei subsp. paracasei. RNAcentral's name for it is "bacterial SSU rRNA". It matches the Rfam family "Bacterial small subunit ribosomal RNA". The record is from RNAcentral. Lineage: Bacteria; Bacillati; Bacillota; Bacilli; Lactobacillales; Lactobacillaceae.
AACGCUGGCGGCGUGCCUAAUACAUGCAAGUCGAACGAGUUCUCGUUGAUGAUCGGUGCUUGCACCGAGAUUCAACAUGGAACGAGUGGCGGACGGGUGAGUAACACGUGGGUAACCUGCCCUUAAGUGGGGGAUAACAUUUGGAAACAGAUGCUAAUACCGCAUAGAUCCAAGAACCGCAUGGUUCUUGGCUGAAAGAUGGCGUAAGCUAUCGCUUUUGGAUGGACCCGCGGCGUAUUAGCUAGUUGGUGAGGUAAUGGCUCACCAAGGCGAUGAUACGUAGCCGAACUGAGAGGUUGAUCGGCCACAUUGGGACUGAGACACGGCCCAAACUCCUACGGGAGGCAGCAGUAGGGAAUCUUCCACAAUGGACGCAAGUCUGAUGGAGCAACGCCGCGUGAGUGAAGAAGGCUUUCGGGUCGUAAAACUCUGUUGUUGGAGAAGAAUGGUCGGCAGAGUAACUGUUGUCGGCGUGACGGUAUCCAACCAGAAAGCCACGGCUAACUACGUGCCAGCAGCCGCGGUAAUACGUAGGUGGCAAGCGUUAUCCGGAUUUAUUGGGCGUAAAGCGAGCGCAGGCGGUUUUUUAAGUCUGAUGUGAAAGCCCUCGGCUUAACCGAGGAAGCGCAUCGGAAACUGGGAAACUUGAGUGCAGAAGAGGACAGUGGAACUCCAUGUGUAGCGGUGAAAUGCGUAGAUAUAUGGAAGAACACCAGUGGCGAAGGCGGCUGUCUGGUCUGUAACUGACGCUGAGGCUCGAAAGCAUGGGUAGCGAACAGGAUUAGAUACCCUGGUAGUCCAUGCCGUAAACGAUGAAUGCUAGGUGUUGGAGGGUUUCCGCCCUUCAGUGCCGCAGCUAACGCAUUAAGCAUUCCGCCUGGGGAGUACGACCGCAAGGUUGAAACUCAAAGGAAUUGACGGGGGCCCGCACAAGCGGUGGAGCAUGUGGUUUAAUUCGAAGCAACGCGAAGAACCUUACCAAGUCUUGACAUCUUUUGAUCACCUGAGAGAUCAGGUUUCCCCUUCGGGGGCAAAAUGACAGGUGGUGCAUGGUUGUCGUCAGCUCGUGUCGUGAGAUGUUGGGUUAAGUCCCGCAACGAGCGCAACCCUUAUGACUAGUUGCCAGCAUUUAGUUGGGCACUCUAGUAAGACUGCCGGUGACAAACCGGAGGAAGGUGGGGAUGACGUCAAAUCAUCAUGCCCCUUAUGACCUGGGCUACACACGUGCUACAAUGGAUGGUACAACGAGUUGCGAGACCGCGAGGUCAAGCUAAUCUCUUAAAGCCAUUCUCAGUUCGGACUGUAGGCUGCAACUCGCCUACACGAAGUCGGAAUCGCUAGUAAUCGCGGAUCAGCACGCCGCGGUGAAUACGUUCCCGGGCCUUGUACACACCGCCCGUCACACCAUGAGAGUUUGUAACACCCGAAGCCGGUGGCGUAACCCUUUUAGGGAGCGAGCUGUCUAAGGUGGGACAAAUGAUUAGGGUGAAGUCGUAACAAGGAGCUGUAGGAGAACUA